Molecule: small nuclear RNA, 103 nt
Organism: Manis pentadactyla (Chinese pangolin)
Lineage: Eukaryota; Metazoa; Chordata; Mammalia; Pholidota; Manidae
Source: RefSeq, a predicted model, not a curated record
GCUAGCUUCAGCAGCCAUAUUCUAAAAGUAAAAUGAUAUAAAGAAAAUCAGCUUGGCCCCUGAACAAGGAAGACACACAAAUUCAGAAGUAUUCUACUUUUCA